This 85-nucleotide transfer RNA is filed under the name Felis catus (domestic cat). It matches the Rfam family "tRNA". Rfam says of the family: Transfer RNA (tRNA) molecules are approximately 80 nucleotides in length. Their secondary structure includes four short double-helical elements and three loops (D, anti-codon, and T loops). Lineage: Eukaryota; Metazoa; Chordata; Mammalia; Carnivora; Felidae. The record is from Rfam by way of RNAcentral.
GCCUGAGUGGCUCAGUCAGUUAAGCGUCUGACUUCAGCUCAGGUCAUGAUCUCACAGUCUGUGGGUUCGAGCCCCACGUUGGGCU